CAGGCGAACGAUAGCUUUGACACGGCUCAGCAGGACCUCGGGUGCGCGGACAGAAGCUGCGUCCUGCGAAAGCUGUGCGAGGGAGGCGACCUGGAGGGGGCUAUGGCGCAAUAUUUCACACAAGAGCAAAUCACGGAGAUUCACAACGCUGCCACCACAUGCGAUCCCGACGCUGAAAAUGAAGAUAACCGCCGCUGAAAGAUGACCGCGCAUACAAUAUUCUGUAAGCCAGAGUUCAUGCACGUGUACAGAUAAACGCCGGAAUGCCAUCAAUGAAAAUCUGCACAGCCACAUCCUUCUGCGCUGUUUACUCUUUUAUGAUGAUAAUUAAAUUCAAG
Rhipicephalus sanguineus (brown dog tick) is the source of this 338-nucleotide long non-coding RNA. RefSeq lists it as uncharacterized. The transcript has 3 exons. Lineage: Eukaryota; Metazoa; Arthropoda; Arachnida; Ixodida; Ixodidae. The record is from RefSeq and is a predicted model, not a curated record.